AUUUUAAUUUGCUCAGCCACAUUCCAACGCACGCUGUGGAAUCGAGAGCUCGGGAAGAUCAAAGAGGCAAAAAAAAAAAAAAAAAAAAGGGAAAAAAAUGAAAGAGGAAAAAACACAGGAAGGACUUGUGCCACAAUCCUGCUCCCUGGCAUCCCUGGAGCUUGGGCCAGGGUCUCAGGACAUCAGCGCCCAGCACAACAUGUACCACCCUUGGGGUGGAGAGGACAAGAGGCCAGGCAGGGGCCUGUGAACCCUCGGGGAUAUUUCAGCUGGGUGUGUCCUCCCACAUCAUCCUCCUCCCUUGGACAUUCCCAUCCUCCGGGAACAAAACCACCCCUGUGCCAGAAAAGCCAGCGGAUCCAAGGGGACAGCAAGAACCUCGUCCCCACCCCGACACCUCCCUCCUUAACGUUUCUUUUUCUUUUUCUUCUUCUUCUCCCCCGUCUUGGCCUCCUCGGCCGCUUUCUUCUCCUCCUUCAGCGUCUUGUACCUCCACUGAGGCGGCUGCAGCAGGUGCUUGUCCUUCACGCGUGGCUUCCGCUCCCCGGCGGACGAGCCCGAGGCUUUGCUCACUUUGAUUUUUGGGACGGGCUCCCCGGGGAAGAUGCUGUUCCCACGGCGCAGCCACAGCGGGAGGAAGCUCAGGAGGCGGCUGGGCGGCCGUGGCGGCGGCAGCAGCCGCACCUCGGACGUGGCUUGGCCGUUGCAGGACGAUCCCCGGGUGCCGGGGCGCGAGGACGUUUGGGACUCGCCGUCCGGAUCCGGCACGUGCUGCCCGAGGAUCUCCGGCACCGACAGCCUGCGCUUGCCCACCUCGGGCGGGCUGUCGGGGCAGAUGGUUUGGCAAGCGGUAGCCACGAAAGGGCUGGCGAGGGACGUGGUCAUCCUCACCAUGUGGUCCAUCACACCGUCCUCCUCGGGAUUGCGGGGGAUGUUGAAGGUGAAAAUGGAUCGGAUCUUCUCCGACAGCCUCUUGCUCCUGGAUUUGGGGCUCAGGGCCUUGGCCACCAGCUCGN
RNAcentral lists this long non-coding RNA (1016 nucleotides) under Cyanistes caeruleus (blue tit). RNAcentral's name for it is "lncRNA (ENSCCEG00000022508.1)". Lineage: Eukaryota; Metazoa; Chordata; Aves; Passeriformes; Paridae. The record is from RNAcentral.